This 87-nucleotide transfer RNA is filed under the name Rhodospirillaceae bacterium. RNAcentral's name for it is "tRNA-Leu". It matches the Rfam family "tRNA". From Rfam's summary of the family: Transfer RNA (tRNA) molecules are approximately 80 nucleotides in length. Their secondary structure includes four short double-helical elements and three loops (D, anti-codon, and T loops). Further hydrogen bonds mediate the characteristic L-shaped molecular structure. tRNAs have two regions of fundamental functional importance: the anti-codon, which is responsible for specific mRNA codon recognition, and the 3' end, to which the tRNAs corresponding amino acid is attached (by aminoacyl-tRNA synthetases). tRNAs cope with the degeneracy of the genetic code in two manners: having more than one tRNA (with a specific anti-codon) for a particular amino acid; and 'wobble' base-pairing, i.e. permitting non-standard base-pairing at the 3rd anti-codon position. Lineage: Bacteria; Pseudomonadati; Pseudomonadota; Alphaproteobacteria; Rhodospirillales; Rhodospirillaceae. The record is from RNAcentral.
GCCCAGGUGGCGGAAUUGGUAGACGCGCUGGCUUCAGGUGCCAGUGGCCGUUAGGUCGUGGAAGUUCGAGUCUUCUCCUGGGCACCA